GACGAACGCUGGCGGCGUGCCUAAUACAUGCAAGUCGAGCGGAUCAGUGAGGAAGCUUGCUUCCGAUCUGGUUAGCGGCGGACGGGUGAGUAACACGUAGGCAACCUGCCUGCAAGACCGGGAUAACAUUCGGAAACGAAUGCUAAUACCGGAUACGCAGUUUCCUCGCAUGGGGAGACUGGGAAAGACGGCGCAAGCUGUCACUUGCAGAUGGGCCUGCGGUGCAUUAGCUAGUUGGUGGGGUAACGGCUCACCAAGGCGACGAUGCAUAGCCGACCUGAGAGGGUGAUCGGCCACACUGGGACUGAGACACGGCCCAGACUCCUACGGGAGGCAGCAGUAGGGAAUCUUCCGCAAUGGACGAAAGUCUGACGGAGCAACGCCGCGUGAGUGAUGAAGGUUUUCGGAUCGUAAAGCUCUGUUGCCAGGGAAGAACAGCCAGGCGAGUAACUGCGCUUGGAAUGACGGUACCUGAGAAGAAGCCCCGGCUAACUACGUGCCAGCAGCCGCAGUAAAAC
Molecule: ribosomal RNA, 518 nt
Filed under: uncultured bacterium
Lineage: Bacteria
Description: bacterial SSU rRNA
Rfam family: Bacterial small subunit ribosomal RNA
Source: RNAcentral